UAGGACAGAAAUUUACCCUGCAAGAUACUUUCAUAUAUGAAAUUAUUCUCUUUUGAACCUUCCUUACCAAAAAUACAUCUUCAUAGCUAACUUUUUUCACAUCUCUCCUACUUACUGGUUUUCUACCUUCUUUCAUAACUAACCUUUAAAUAACAUCCAAAUUAAAUAAAAUUAUUCUUUUUCUCCAUAAGAACACAUUUAUUUGGCACAUUUUAUAUAUAGAAUUCUAUAUUAACUAAAAUUCUUACUCUUAGUAACCUUAAAUUUUAGUGAAAACCUAGGAGGCAAGAAAUAUUGAAUUGUCUGUUCUCUAUCAGCACUUUAAAGAUGAGAAUCACGUCACAAUUUUUAGAAACGUGUUUCUGGCCAAGCAUGGUAGCUCAUGUCUGUAAUCCCAGCACUUUGGGAGGCUGAGUUUACAUUCUCCCCUUUUAGCCAAGAUGUGCCAGAGAUGACAUUGGUGACCAAACAUUUAUUUUUUCCCAUAUCUUUGCCGGGGUGGUGUGGCUACCUGCUGCAGGUUCAUUCUGUUCUUUGGUGGGAUCCUUAUGGCCAAGGGACUUGGAGCCAAUUAAACAUUCUAGGCCAGAUGAGGAUGGAGGUGAACAGGCACUCAUUAACCCUUAAAAACCUUUUGAGCAACAGAAGAGCCAAAAAGCAAGGUUACAACAGUGACUUACCUGUAAGUUCUAUGUGACGAGUCAUCAGCUGUUUAGUAACCUGUAUGACCUGUUAACCAUUUUUGUAGCCUGUGAAUAUCAGAUGUUCAUUUAAGUCAGAACCUUAAACAUGUGGAUAUUUUUGCCAACAACUCAGAAGCUAACAAAACAGCUAACAACUUAGCUGUUUUCAUUGAACCAACAAUAUUAAAUUAGUCUUAUUUGUCAAAAAAUUCACACAAAGAUCAUUCUCUUUUUGACUGGGUUUAUAGUCUUAUAAUCUUUUGUGCCAAAUCCUGAUACCUUAAAACACCUAGCGGAGGCAAAUAUAAAAUAAUCAGUAAACCCAGACUAAAAAAAAAAUGUAUGCUGACAAUUCUGAAGACAUUUCUAGUUUUAUUUUACCAAUAAUUUUAAAACCAUUUUAUUUACCAGAUUACUAAGUUCACAUGAAUCUGAAAAGUAUUUGGACUUACUUAAUUUAUGAGUAUAAUUUACUUAUAAACCAGUUUGGUACCAUGCUAGAUACAACACAACAUAAUACAUGUUCAUAUACAAACAUUUAAACACAUACACACAAAGAUCUUACAGCUUUUACUCUGGAACCUUAGCCAUGAGAUGGUAAUACAGACUCACCACUUAACAAAAGACAGCUGGAUCCAAAUUAUUUCUGACAAAAUUGGGACCUGUUCACAUGGCUAAACUUUAUUUGUCCCAGUAGGUAAUCCAAUGAAGGCUAUGGACCAAAGUCUUGGGAAAAGUAGUUUUCAUGGCAGUUUUAUUUUUAAAAACCUUUUACCCCUUUUUUUUUUCCUGAAGUUUCAAAUGAGUUUUCAGUGUUUACAUUUUAGCUACAAUUGGCUGAACUGUAAAGAAAGCUCCAAGUAGCCUUGAAUUAGUAGUAUCAUAAACAAUGAGUUUUAUCUUAACAGCAGUAGCUUAAUAACAGCAAAUUCAAAGCAGGCCGAAAACAAAAAAGAGAUAGCUUUAGAAAACUCUACAUUUUAAUUGUAUAGUUGCAGGUUGGGCAUUUGAGCUCUGAAUUUUCCUUGCUGUAAUUUGCCCGUUCAGUUUUAAAAUGUGCACAAGAACAGGCCACAAUAUGCAGCUAGCUGAAGUGCUGGAAAACCUGGCAUGCCUUUGAACUUCUACAGGAGUUCCUGCCCCUAGUGGGUAAGUUACCUAUUGCACUGACUUUAUGAAGAUAUCUCUUCCAGUGCCCUUAGUGUGAGCAUCCCCACAAACCUUAUGAACCAGUUGAAUCCAACCUGAAUGCCUCUCCAUAAGCCCGGAGCCCACAAAUGCAUUUUCUCCAGGGCCCUUGGAUGGAGGGAAUCAGGAAGGCCUCCUCCAAACCCAAGGCUAGGAGAGAUGUUCCCUCCGGGGUCCAGGGAGGAGAACAGAAAGGACUGAGAAGAACUAGGAAUGCCCUCCCAAACCCAAGGCCAGCAGGAGGGUCUCCUCCGGAGUUCCACAGAUGGAGGAGGCCUAAAAGAAGAAAUCAAGUCUGCAACCUAAAAGUGGGAGAUCUUGGAUUUUGAUAGCACUUACCCAGAUCCUUUCCCAGCAUAGUCAGGAACAACUGGACUUUUUCAAAGGGACCUUGGCUGUACCUGGUGUCCUGGGUGACACAGGAAAAGGAAUUCAGGGGCUGCUUCAGAAUCCCAUCUUUGCCAGAUACGUUAACUU
This 2348-nucleotide long non-coding RNA is filed under the name Homo sapiens (human). RNAcentral's name for it is "non-protein coding LINC01963:9". Lineage: Eukaryota; Metazoa; Chordata; Mammalia; Primates; Hominidae. The record is from RNAcentral.